AAGCGCUUGCAAUCAGACUUGCAUGCAGUUGAUCAUCCGAUGUUCUCACCGGUGCACUCAAUUGCGUUUAGGCCAGCAUCGGUUCGGGUGGCAGGAUAAAGGCCUUGGGAAUGUAGCUCCUUUCGGGGAGUGUUAUAGCCCUCGGUGCAAUGCCGCCUACCUGGACCGAGGACCGCGCUUCGGCUAGGAUGCUGGCAUAAUGGUUGUAAGCGA
Molecule: ribosomal RNA, 213 nt
Filed under: Sarocladium sp.
Lineage: Eukaryota; Fungi; Ascomycota; Sordariomycetes; Hypocreales; Sarocladiaceae
Description: partial large subunit ribosomal RNA
Source: RNAcentral